UUUCUUUACUACCUCUAUAACAGUUAUUUUAUUAAUAUUACUCUUUAAAAUAAAUGCAAUUGAAAAAAUUAAGGAGUGGUUAUAGACGUGAUCUGCCGUGCUCAGCGCCCCAAAAUUGGGGCGGUGAAAAUGUCCAAAACGGCAUAUUUUUUUUUAUUUAAUUUUCAGAAUACCUUUAUUUUUAUGCUUAUUGGACUUAGAAUAUAACGAAAAAAAUAUCAGUUUUUACGAAAAAAAAAGUUGAGCACAUAUGGGUUAAUAAAUUUAGCCACCCCCUCUCUUCCCGUGGGUGUCGUAAGA
Molecule: unclassified non-coding RNA, 300 nt
Filed under: Melitaea cinxia (Glanville fritillary)
Lineage: Eukaryota; Metazoa; Arthropoda; Insecta; Lepidoptera; Nymphalidae
Description: misc RNA ENSMCXG00005008307.1
Source: RNAcentral